AUCGCCAACAGUACUGUGCCGCCGUCGCCGGUCACGAGAGGAAGCAGGAGGACGCGGAUGGAGUAGAGGCCCGGCAGAUUCCCCCUGAAAGGGGGAUCGUAGGUUCUGGUAAGUGUUAUUUUCGGUCGAGUUUAUUAUCUCUAUCUUGUUCGUCCAUCGGCUUCUUCGUUCCUCCUCCCUGCAUUCUAUUUCCGCAUUAGGGUUUCAUUGUGGGAGAAAAUUAGGGUUUCGGUUAGGUCCAAAGCUUUUGUUCGUGGAGCUUGGUUGAUUUAACUUCGUAGGACCAAGAUUUUGGUUGCCGAGACCGAUUAUGUGACAUCUGACAGAAGGCACAAGAGACUGAUGCGCCCCUGGCUACUGGUUGGACGGUUCAUGGUAAGGCUGGUGCCGAGCAACCACGCCUUGAUGGAGGAACUGAUCGCUCUGGCCUCACUUCUUUUCAUGUCCUUCUAUGUCAUUGCCCCCUUUUCCCUUGGGAUUUUGUGAUUUCAAGAUGCUUGUCUUUCUGAGACCGACUCGAUCUCUUCUGGUCAUUCUCCUCGCCCUUCUUCUUGAUCAAGAACUCCGAGCUCUCUGCGAUGGCGGAGUCACGAGGGCCUGCGACUUGUACUUUCCCGCUGUCGCCGGUCACGAGAGGACACAGUAUGUCAAACCCUCGUGUCGAUGUGAACUCUUGAAGAUCAAUCUAUUAUCCCUAGAAUAACUUUUAUCCAUCGAGCGACGACUCUUUCACUCGACAUGGAUAGUAGUUUUUUCUAGUGAUUCUUCGCUAAUGAUCUCCAUGCUGUUGAAAUAACAAUUGAUUGGCCUUGUGUAAUUAUUGUUCAUAGUGAAGGUAUUUAGAUCAAUGACCAUCCGACACGUGACUAUUGAUGUGGUAGCCCAAUCAACCUCG
Molecule: long non-coding RNA, 895 nt
Filed under: Musa acuminata (dwarf banana)
Lineage: Eukaryota; Viridiplantae; Streptophyta; Magnoliopsida; Zingiberales; Musaceae
Description: long non-coding RNA (MACU_LNC003156)
Source: RNAcentral